Molecule: small nucleolar RNA, 66 nt
Filed under: Cavia porcellus (domestic guinea pig)
Lineage: Eukaryota; Metazoa; Chordata; Mammalia; Rodentia; Caviidae
Description: Small nucleolar RNA SNORD74 (ENSCPOG00000029338.2)
Source: RNAcentral
GAGUUAACGCUGAAACCUGUGCUGGUAGGGACAUCUAAGAGCACUGAUGAGCUGGGGGUUUAGCUC